CCCCGUUUCCUGUCCCCCCAGUGACGGUGUCCCCCCGUUUCCUGUCCCCCCAGCGACGGUGUCCCCCCGUUUCCUGUCCCCCCAGGCCAUCACAGCCGGGUUCUUUUACCACACGGCGCGUUUGGCGCGGGGCGGGUACCGCACGGUGAAACACCAACAGCCGGUGUUCAUCCACCCCAACAGCGCCCUGUUCUCGCUGCAGCCCCGCUGGGUGCUGUACCACGAGCUGGUGUGCACCUCCAAGGAGUUCAUGAGACAGGUGAUGGAGAUCGACAGUUCCUGGCUGCUGGAGGUGGCCCCUCACUAUUACCAGGCCAAGGAGCUCGAGGACGGCAGCGGCCGCAAGAUGCCAAAAAAAACCGGGAAAACGCGGGAGGAGCUGGGCUGAGCCCGGCCCGGGGACACCUGGGCACACCUGGGCACACCUGGGUGUACCUGGAGCACACCUAGAGCUGCCCUGGACACAUGUGGACACACCUGGGUGUACCUGGAGCACACCUGUUCACAGCUGGGUGUACCUGGAGCACACCUGGACACAGCUGGGUGUACCUGGGUGUACCUGGAGCUGCCCUGGACACAUCUGGGUGUACCUGGAGCACACCUGGUCAUACCUGGACACACCUGGGUGUACCUGGAGCACAGCUGGGUGUACCUGGAGCACAGCUGGGUGUACC
Molecule: long non-coding RNA, 674 nt
Filed under: Cyanistes caeruleus (blue tit)
Lineage: Eukaryota; Metazoa; Chordata; Aves; Passeriformes; Paridae
Description: lncRNA (ENSCCEG00000004464.1)
Source: RNAcentral